This 186-nucleotide ribosomal RNA is filed under the name uncultured bacterium. RNAcentral's name for it is "partial 16S ribosomal RNA". It matches the Rfam family "Bacterial small subunit ribosomal RNA", at positions 118 to 292 of the family's 1533-position model. The record is from RNAcentral.
UGGGUAACCUGCCUCAAAGAGGGGAAUAGCCUCCCGAAAGGGAGAUUAAUACCGCAUAGUAUGUUUAGGUCGCAUGACUUUAACAUCAAAGGAUUUCUUUUAGAAAUUCCACUUUGAGAUGGACCCGCGGCGCAUUAGCUAGUUGGUGAAGUAACGGCUCACCAAGGCGACGAUGCGUAGCCGACC